Molecule: ribosomal RNA, 451 nt
Filed under: Tainonia visite
Lineage: Eukaryota; Metazoa; Arthropoda; Arachnida; Araneae; Pholcidae
Description: partial 16S ribosomal RNA
Source: RNAcentral
UUCUUUAAGUUUUAAUUUAAAGUACAACCUGCUCAAUGUAAAUUAUAAAUAGCCGCAGAAUUUUCUGUGCUAAGGUAGCAUAAUCAUUAGCUUUUUAAUUUAAAGAUAGAAUGAAAGGUUAAACGAAAUAAAAACUGUCUCAUCAAUUAAUAUUAUAUUUUAUAUAAAGUAAAAAUACUUUUGUUAACAAGAAGGACGACAAGACCCUGAUAAACUUACUAUUUAACUGGGGCGGUAAUUUAAACAAACCUUAUCAUUUUUUAAUAUAAAAACAAUUAUAUUACAAAUAUCAACUAAUCAGUUACUUCAGGGAUAACAGCGCAACCUUUUUUUAAAGAACAUAUACAAAAAACUUACUACGACCUCGAUGUUGAAUUAAUUAAUCUAUUUCAUGCAUAAAUGAAAAAAGUUAGUCUGUUCGACUAUUUAAUAAUUACGUGAUCUGAGUUCA